GGGGCAGGUAGCUCAGUUGGUAGAGCACAGGAUUGAAAAUCCUGGUGUCGGCGGUUCGAUUCCGCCCCUUUCCCAC
This 76-nucleotide transfer RNA is filed under the name Planctomycetaceae bacterium. RNAcentral's name for it is "tRNA-Phe". It matches the Rfam family "tRNA". From Rfam's summary of the family: Transfer RNA (tRNA) molecules are approximately 80 nucleotides in length. Lineage: Bacteria; Pseudomonadati; Planctomycetota; Planctomycetia; Planctomycetales; Planctomycetaceae. The record is from RNAcentral.